UCAAAAGCGGUUGCCAUAUUAGUAUGUGGGGCAAUAUUGCGAAUAGUUCAAAGUAUAUCUUGAUAAUGACAUAAUAUGCUUUUAGGUCUUGACCAACUCGUGUGCCAGCAGUCGCGGUAAGACAUGGAAGGCAAGCGUUAUUCAUCUUUAUUUGGUUUAAAGGGUACCUAGACGGUUGAUAUAAGCCCAGGAGGGUACUUAAUUAACUAGAGUUUUAUGAAAGAAAUUUAGUACGGUGAGUGUAGGGAUAAAAUCUUUUGAUGCCACUUAGAGACUGGUAUAGGUGAAGACAAUUUUCUAUGUAAAAACUGACGUUAAGGGACGAAGGCUCGAUUGAAGAAACAGGAUUAGAUACCCCAGUACUGUGGGCAGACAAUGAUGAAUGUCAUACAUAUGGGAGGGUUCUCUUAUGUGUAUAAAUGAAAGUGUAAGCAUUCCACCUCAAGAGUAAUAUGGCAACAUAUAAACUGAAAUCAUUAGACCGUUUUUGAAA
This 493-nucleotide ribosomal RNA is filed under the name Cladosterigma clavariella. RNAcentral describes it as "SSU rRNA". It matches the Rfam family "Bacterial small subunit ribosomal RNA", at positions 391 to 925 of the family's 1533-position model. Lineage: Eukaryota; Fungi; Ascomycota; Lecanoromycetes; Ostropales; Gyalectaceae. The record is from RNAcentral.